RNAcentral lists this ribosomal RNA (301 nucleotides) under uncultured bacterium. RNAcentral describes it as "partial 16S ribosomal RNA". It matches the Rfam family "Bacterial small subunit ribosomal RNA", at positions 509 to 807 of the family's 1533-position model. The record is from RNAcentral.
CAGUCGCCGCGGUAAUACGAAGGGGGCUAGCGUUGUUCGGAAUUACUGGGCGUAAAGGGCGCGUAGGCGGCCGAUCAAGUCAGGCGUGAAAGCCCCGGGCUUAACCUGGGAACUGCGUUUGGGACUGGUUGGCUUGAGUUCGGGAGAGGAGAGUGGAAUUCCCAGUGUAGAGGUGAAAUUCGUAGAUAUUGGGAAGAACACCGGUGGCGAAGGCGGCUCUCUGGACCGAUACUGACGCUGAGGCGCGAAAGCGUGGGGAGCAAACAGGAUUAGAUACCCCGGUAGUCCCUGUCUCUUAUAC